GCAGAAGUAGCUCAGCCUUUAGAGCGCCGGUCUUGUAAGCCGGACGUCGGGGGUUAAACUCCCCCCUCCUGCU
This 73-nucleotide transfer RNA is filed under the name Diodon holocanthus (long-spine porcupinefish). RNAcentral's name for it is "tRNA-Thr". It matches the Rfam family "tRNA". Rfam says of the family: Transfer RNA (tRNA) molecules are approximately 80 nucleotides in length. Their secondary structure includes four short double-helical elements and three loops (D, anti-codon, and T loops). Further hydrogen bonds mediate the characteristic L-shaped molecular structure. tRNAs have two regions of fundamental functional importance: the anti-codon, which is responsible for specific mRNA codon recognition, and the 3' end, to which the tRNAs corresponding amino acid is attached (by aminoacyl-tRNA synthetases). tRNAs cope with the degeneracy of the genetic code in two manners: having more than one tRNA (with a specific anti-codon) for a particular amino acid; and 'wobble' base-pairing, i.e. permitting non-standard base-pairing at the 3rd anti-codon position. Lineage: Eukaryota; Metazoa; Chordata; Actinopteri; Tetraodontiformes; Diodontidae. The record is from RNAcentral.